This 170-nucleotide non-coding RNA is filed under the name Lonsdalea quercina. RNAcentral describes it as "Bacterial small subunit ribosomal RNA". It matches the Rfam family "Bacterial small subunit ribosomal RNA", at positions 1 to 164 of the family's 1533-position model. The record is from Rfam by way of RNAcentral. Lineage: Bacteria; Pseudomonadati; Pseudomonadota; Gammaproteobacteria; Enterobacterales; Pectobacteriaceae.
UAAUUGAAGAGUUUGAUCAUGGCUCAGAUUGAACGCUGGCGGCAGGCCUAACACAUGCAAGUCGAGCGGCAGCGGAAGGAAGCUUGCUUCCUUGCCGGCGAGCGGCGGACGGGUGAGUAAUGUCUGGGGAUCUGCCCGAUGGAGGGGGAUAACUACUGGAAACGGUAGCU